This 75-nucleotide microRNA precursor is filed under the name Myotis lucifugus (little brown bat). RNAcentral describes it as "mir-9193 microRNA precursor family". It matches the Rfam family "mir-9193 microRNA precursor family". Lineage: Eukaryota; Metazoa; Chordata; Mammalia; Chiroptera; Vespertilionidae. The record is from Rfam by way of RNAcentral.
CUCGAGAGGGGGGGGGUUCCUCAGCCCAGAUUGCAAGAGGGCGCAGGCCAGGCCAAGGGACCCCACCAGUGCACG